GCCGGGCGUGGUGGCGCACACCUUUAAUCCCAGCACUUGGGAGGCAGAGGCAGGCAGAUCUUUGUGAGUUCGAGGCCAGCCUGGUCUACAUAGUGAGUUCCAGGACAACUGGGGCUACAAGGAGACCCUGUUUCAGAAAGAAAAAAAAAAACAACUUUUUUGGGUCUUUUUGUAGCCCCAACUCGCCUGGAACUCACAAGGUAGACCAGGCUGGCCUCAAUCUCACAGAGAUUCAUCUGCGUCU
RNAcentral lists this small RNA (244 nucleotides) under Nannospalax galili (Upper Galilee mountains blind mole rat). RNAcentral's name for it is "Metazoan signal recognition particle RNA (ENSNGAG00000008562.1)". The record is from RNAcentral. Lineage: Eukaryota; Metazoa; Chordata; Mammalia; Rodentia; Spalacidae.